ACGUAAUAGAUACCCAGGUAGUCCAUGCCGUAAACGUUGGGCACUAGGUGUGGGGGACAUUCCACGUUUUCCGCGCCGUAGCUAAACGCAUUAAGUGCCCCGCCUGGGGAGUACGGCCGCAAGGCUAAAACUCAAAGGAAUUGACGGGGGCCCGCACAAGCGGCGGAGCAUGCGGAUUAAUUCGAUGCAACGCGAAGAACCUUACCAAGGCUUGACAUGAACCGGACCGGGCUGGAAACAGUCUUUCCCCUUGUGGGCUGGUUUACAGGUGGUGCAUGGUUGUCGUCAGCUCGUGUCGUGAGAUGUUGGGUUAAGUCCCGCAACGAGCGCAACCCUCGUUCUAUGUUGCCAGCACGUGAUGGUGGGGACUCAUAGGAGACUGCCGGGGUCAACUCGGAGGAAGGUGGGGACGACGUCAAAUCAUCAUGCCCCUUAUGUCUUGGGCUUCACGCAUGCUACAAUGGCCGGUACAAAGGGUUGCGAUACUGUGAGGUGGAGCUAAUCCCAAAAAGCCGGUCUCAGUUCGGAUUGGGGUCUGCAACUCGACCCCAU
Molecule: ribosomal RNA, 552 nt
Filed under: uncultured bacterium
Lineage: Bacteria
Description: bacterial SSU rRNA
Rfam family: Bacterial small subunit ribosomal RNA
Source: RNAcentral